This 819-nucleotide ribosomal RNA is filed under the name uncultured eukaryote. Its description in RNAcentral is "SSU rRNA". It matches the Rfam family "Eukaryotic small subunit ribosomal RNA", at positions 372 to 1198 of the family's 1831-position model. The record is from RNAcentral.
UGGGUUCGAUUCCGGAGAGGGAGCNUGAGAAACGGCUACCACAUCUAAGGAAGGCAGCAGGCGCGUAAAUUACCCAAUCCUGACACAGGGAGGUAGUGACAAGAAAUAUCAAUAUAGGACUUUUGUGUCUUGUAAUUGGGAUGAGCGGAACUUAAAUCGCUUCUCGAGUAUCAAUUGGAGGGCAAGUCUGGUGCCAGCAGCCGCGGUAAUUCCAGCUCCAAUAGCGUAUAUUAAAAUUGUUGCGGUUAAAACGCUCGUAGUUGGAUGUAUGCAAUUGAACUUCGGUCCUUCCAAGUGAAGAUUACUCGAGGUUUCGCUUGCAUUUGUCCAGGGAAGAUGGAUGUACUUCACUGUAUGACCAUGUAAUCUGGACUUUUACUUUGAGGAAAUAAGAGUGUUCCAAGCAGGCUUUCGCCGUGAAUAUGAUAGCAUGGAAUAAUAGCACAGGACUCUUGGUUCAAUGCUGUUGGUUUGUUGAGCUAGAGUAAUCCAAAUAAGGAUAGUUGGGGGUAUUCGUAUUUAACUGUCAGAGGUGAAAUUCUUGGAUUUUUUAAAGACGAACAAUUGCGAAGGCAUCUACCCAGGAUGUUUUUGUUGAUCAAGAACGAAAGUUAGGGGAUCGAAGACGAUCAGAUACCGUCCUAGUCUUAACCUUAAACUAUGCCGGCUGGAGAUCGGAGCCGUCAGAUUUGUGACGGUUUCGGCAUCCUAUGAGAAAUCUAAGUCUUUGGGUUCCGGGGGGAGUAUGGUCGCAAGGCUGAAACUUAAAGGAAUUGACGGAAGGGCACCACCAGGAGUGGAGCCUGCGGCUUAAUUUGA